Kogia breviceps (pygmy sperm whale) is the source of this 455-nucleotide non-coding RNA. The record is from RefSeq and is a predicted model, not a curated record. NCBI's taxonomy places the organism in Eukaryota, Metazoa, Chordata, Mammalia, Artiodactyla, Physeteridae.
GGACAGGGCGCCUGGCUCCGCGCUGGGCUCGCGGGCGGCGGCGCUUCCGGGCCCCCGGGGGCCGCCGCGGCCUCUAGAAUUACGCCGGCCGCGCUCAGGUGUCCGCAGCCAACCCUCCGCCUGGAGACCCUAGGGAGACAGACCCAGGAUUCAUCCUCGGAGUCACAGCUGCGACCACCGUGCAUCCUUUAAGGGUAAGAGGUGCUCCUAAAAUACAGAUUGGAAUGACUUUGUAUUUCCUCUGCCUAAAACCCCUUCCAUACUCCUACCUAUAGACCUGAGGUGAUGAUCCUUGAAGAGCGUUCACUGGUGCUGCCCUCCUUGUGCUCUCUGCUUGGAAUACUUUCCGUAAGUGUGAAUGAGAGUACAGGCAUAACAUGUCUUAUUGCUCUGUGCCUUAUUGUGAUUCACAGAUGUUGCAUCUUUUAUAAAUAGAAGGUUUGUGGCAAUGCUGU